This 475-nucleotide ribosomal RNA is filed under the name uncultured bacterium. RNAcentral's name for it is "bacterial SSU rRNA". It matches the Rfam family "Bacterial small subunit ribosomal RNA", at positions 28 to 474 of the family's 1533-position model. The record is from RNAcentral.
GACGAACGCUGGCGGCGUGCUUAACACAUGCAAGUCGAACGAAGAGCGAUGGAAGCUUGCUUCUAUCAAUCUUAGUGGCGAACGGGUGAGUAACGCGUAUCAACCUGCCCUUCAGAGGGGGACAACAGUUGGAAACGACUGCUAAUACCGCAUACGAUCUAAACUCGGCAUCGAGGAUAGAUGAAAGGUGGCCUCUACAUGUAAGCUAUCACUGAAGGAGGGGAUUGCGUCUGAUUAGCUAGUUGGAGGGGUAACGGCCCACCAAGGCGAUGAUCAGUAGCCGGUCUGAGAGGAUGAACGGCCACAUUGGGACUGAGACACGGCCCAGACUCCUACGGGAGGCAGCAGUGGGGAAUCUUCCGCAAUGGACGAAAGUCUGACGGAGCAACGCCGCGUGAGUGAUGACGGCCUUCGGGUUGUAAAGCUCUGUUGAUCGGGACGAAAGGCCUUCUUGCGAAUAGUGAGAAGGAUGACG